RNAcentral lists this long non-coding RNA (692 nucleotides) under Mytilus galloprovincialis (Mediterranean mussel). Lineage: Eukaryota; Metazoa; Mollusca; Bivalvia; Mytilida; Mytilidae. The record is from RNAcentral.
UGCCCAGUCUUUUGCAUAACCCUCAACAGAAUCCAUUAGUAGUUUGAAGUUUUGCUUCCAAUUGAUUGUCUGGGGCUCUCUGUAUUUCAGACCCUUGUACAAAAAGUGAGCAUUUAAUGGUGAAUGGUCUGAAUUCAAAUGUUCAUAUAGAGCAUUUUUAUUUAUAAAAAAAAUCAAAUUUCAAAAAGGGGAUUUAUAUAACAUUGUGUCACUUUUUAAAAUAAAAAAACUGAAGAUAUUUAUGUAUCAAAUUUUACCUGAAGCAGAAGAAAAACAAUUUAUCAUUUAGGUCCUCACAAACUAUGUCAGUGCUAUUUCAUUCCAUCCAUUGAAAAAUCAUUACCUAUGUUUUACAUUUACAGAAGUUCUUUAUAAAAAGUGAACACUUAUUUAGGUUUGAAUAUUACAAUGCAAAAGAAUAAUUUUGUAAGGUCACUCGAAAGGGUAAAUAUGAUCUAAAUUGGUCAGACAAUACUUGGUCAUGUUUUAUGAAGAUUAAGCCCUCGUAUUGUCUAACCUAUAAGUAAAGUAUCUAUAGAAAGAUAUUCCUGUUUGUACUAUGAUACAUUUUUUUUUCUCUCGAUUGUCUUUCGGAUACAAUAGCUUGAAUGAAGCUUUUAAUUCUCUUUCUUGGAAAAAGCUUUAGAAUUUGUGGGAAGUCUCGAAUAAAAUCAAAUAUUCCUUAUAUAAUC